Molecule: long non-coding RNA, 1558 nt
Organism: Panicum virgatum (switchgrass)
Lineage: Eukaryota; Viridiplantae; Streptophyta; Magnoliopsida; Poales; Poaceae
Exons: 3
Source: RefSeq, a predicted model, not a curated record
AAUAACACUCGACAAUGCAGCAAACAACAAGACAGCUUGUGAUCUUCUGCAAGAAAGUGGAAAGCAAGACAUGUUAUUUGGUGGUGAGCAUCUUCUUGUUAGAUGUUGUGCUCAUAUACUCAACAUUCUUGUGCAAGACGGUAUGAAUGUUGCUAGUGCUGUGAUAGAAUUGAUAAGAGACCUGAUUAGGCACAUUAACUCAUCACCAGCACAUAUCCAGGAUUUCAAUGAGAUAGCUCAAAGAGAAGGUCUUGCUGCAAAGGCUGGUUUAGUCCUUGAUGUUCCAAAUCGUUGAAACUCAACAUAUGCCAUGAUUAUGGAGGCAGCAAAGUACAAGACCGUCUUGAAGCGAUAUGUCACAGCAAACCAGCAACCAUUUCCAACCGAAUCUGAGUUUAGUAAAGUUGAGUCCAUUGGUGAAUUCCUUGGAGUUUAUGAAGAAGCUACCAGGGCGUUCUCAGCUGAUAGAUAUCCAACAUCCCACAUAUUCCUGCAUAAUGUGCUUUGCAUCCAUCAAACUCUGAGAAGUCCAGAAUGGCACAACAAUCAGGUUAUCACUGAUUUGGCAAAUGCAAUGGAUAAGAAAUUUGAUAAGUAUUGGAAUGGAAAUUACAAUAUGCUCCUUCCUAUUUGCAGCAUACUUGAUCCAAGAAAGAAACUUGACCUCCUUGACUUCUUCUAUGAGAAGGUGUGCACCAACUUUAUUGACAUUGAAAUUAGGACAAAUAUGGUUAAAGAGUGGCUUCACAAGUAUUUUAGGAAGUAUGAAGAGGUUAUAAAAAGAAAUGAAACAAAUGUGGUGUCACAAACUGCACAAUCCACAAGCAUGGUGAACCGUUCUCCAGUGCUAGUACUUGGAAAAAGAAGACUGGAACAAGAAUUUGCUGAAUACAGGAAUCGGAGGAGAGGGACUAGGAUUGAAAAAUCAUAACUUGAUGCAUAUCUAGAAGAGCCACCAGUGAGGCCAGAUGAAAGAUUUGAAAUUCUGACUUGGUGGAAAACAAACUCCAACAAGUAUCCUGUGCUGUCAGCAAUGGCAUGUGAUUUUUUUAGCAAUUCCACUCAGCACUGUUUCGUCUGAAUCUGCAUUCAGCUUGAGCGGUCGGAUUCUUGAUGACAAUCAAAGCUCAAUGAAACCAGAAACUCUUCAAGCUUUGGUCUGUUGCAAAGAUUGAUUGUACACAUAUCCCACCAAUGAAGUGAGUUAGGGAAUUCUGAGAAGCUUAUACUUUGCACGCUAAGUUUUGUGGACCUUGCUGGUUCUGAGAGGGUGAAAAAAUCUGGUAUGCUUCACGGGUUCGUUGCAUUGUUAAUGAUACAAGCAAGCAUGUUGCCCCAAAAGAAAUCGUGAGGCUGAAGAAGUUGAUUGCCUAUUGGAAGGAGCAAGCAGGCAAGCGAAGUGAUGACGAACUGGAAGAAAUACAGGAAGAGAGGGUCUCGAAAGAGAAAGCAGACAAUCGCCUGACUGGCUGACAGCGAGGUGCCACCACUGAAUGCUCCUGGUCGUGUUCUUCAGUGUUAAGAAUUUGCGACAGCGACGAGUUCUGCAAUCACUCUA